AAAAAGAAAAAAGAAACAAAAAGCCUCACAAACACGAAAAAAAAAAAAAAAAAAAAAAAGAAAAGAAAAGCCUGGCAAACACAAAAAAGAAAAAAAAGCCUCUCGCGGCGCAGAGCCCCGCAGUCAGCCAGCAGUCACCAGGAAUCACUCACAGUCACCCCGCAGACACCCCCGCAGUCUCCUCCGCAGUCACCCCCGCAGUCUCCCCUCCGCAGUCACCCCCGCAGUCUCCCCUCCGCAGUCACCCCCGCGGUCACCCGGCAGUCUCCCCACAGUCUCCCCUCCGCAGUCACCCCCGCAGUCUCCUCCGCAGUCACCCCCGCAGUCUCCUCCGCAGUCUCCCCCGCAGUCACCCCCGCAGUCUCCCCGCAGUCACCCCCGCAGUCUCUCCCGCAGUCACCCCGCAAUCUCCUCUGCAGUCACCCGGCAGUCACCCCCGCAGUCUCCCCGCAGUCACCCCCGCAGUCUCCCCGCAGUCUCCUCCGCAGUCUCCCUGCAGUCACCCCGCAGUCUCCUCCGCAGUCACCCCCGCAGUCUCCCCUGCAGUCACCCCCGCAGUCUCCCGCAGUCACCCCGCAGUCUCCUCCGCAGUCUCCCCCGCAGUCACCCCGCAGUCUCCCCCGCAGUCACCCCGCAGUCUCCUCCGCAGUCUCCCCGCAGUCUCCCGCAGUCUCCCCACAGUCUCCUCUGCAGUCACCCCCGCAGUCACCCCGCAGUCUCCCCGCAGUCUCCCGCAGUCACCCCCGCAGUCUCCCCGCAGUCUCCUCCGCAGUCUCCCUGCAGUCACCCCGCAGUCUCCUCCGCAGUCACCCCGCAGUCUCCUCCGCAGUCACCCCCGCAGUCUCCCCUGCAGUCACCCCCGCAGUCUCCCGCAGUCACCCCGCAGUCUCCUCCGCAGUCUCCCCCGCAGUCACCCCGCAGUCUCCCCCGCAGUCACCCCGCAGUCUCCUCCGCAGUCUCCCCGCAGUCUCCCGCAGUCUCCCCGCAGUCUCCUCUGCAGUCACCCCCGCAGUCACCCCGCAGUCUCCCCGCAGUCUCCCGCAGUCUCCCCGCAGUCUCCUCCGCAGUCUCCCCCGCAGUCACCCCGCAGUCUCCUCCGCAGUCUCCCCGCAGUCUCCCGCAGUCUCCCCGCAGUCUCCUCUGCAGUCACCCCCGCAGUCACCCCGCAGUCUCCCCGCAGUCUCCCGCAGUCUCCCCGCAGUCUCCUCCGCAGUCUCCCCCGCAGUCACCCCGCAGUCUCCUCCGCAGUCUCCCCGCAGUCUCCCGCAGUCUCCCCGCAGUCUCCUCUGCAGUCACCCCCGCAGUCACCCCGCAGUCUCCCCGCAGUCUCCUCCGCAGUCUCCCCCGCAGUCACCCCGCAGUCUCCUCCGCAGUCUCCCCGCAGUCUCCCGCAGUCUCCCCGCAGUCUCCUCUGCAGUCACCCCCGCAGUCACCCCGCAGUCUCCCCGCAGUCUCCUCCGCAGUCUCCCCCGCAGUCACCCCGCAGUCUCCUCCGCAGUCUCCCCGCAGUCUCCCGCAGUCUCCCCGCAGUCUCCUCCGCAGUCUCCCCCGCAGUCUCCCCGCAGUCUCCUCGCAGUCUCCCCCGCAGUCCCCCGCAGUCACCCCGUAGUCUCCCCCGCAGUCUCCUCCGCAGUCACCCCGCAGUCUCCCGCGGUCUCCCCGCAGUCUCCUCCGCAGUCUCCCCCGCAGUCUCCUCCGCAGUCUCCUCCGCAGUCUCCCCCGCAGUCACCCCCGCAGUCUCCCCGCAGUCACCCCCGCAGUCUCUCCCGCAGUCACCCCGCAAUCUCCUCUGCAGUCACCCGGCAGUCACCCCCGCAGUCUCCCCGCAGUCACCCCCGCAGUCUCCCCGCAGUCUCCUCCGCAGUCUCCCUGCAGUCACCCCGCAGUCUCCUCCGCAGUCACCCCCGCAGUCUCCCCUGCAGUCACCCCCGCAGUCUCCCGCAGUCACCCCGCAGUCUCCUCCGCAGUCUCCCCCGCAGUCACCCCGCAGUCUCCCCCGCAGUCACCCCGCAGUCUCCUCCGCAGUCUCCCCGCAGUCUCCCGCAGUCUCCCCGCAGUCUCCUCUGCAGUCACCCCCGCAGUCACCCCGCAGUCUCCCCGCAGUCUCCCGCAGUCACCCCCGCAGUCUCCCCGCAGUCUCCUCCGCAGUCUCCCUGCAGUCACCCCGCAGUCUCCUCCGCAGUCACCCCGCAGUCUCCUCCGCAGUCACCCCCGCAGUCUCCCCUGCAGUCACCCCCGCAGUCUCCCGCAGUCACCCCGCAGUCUCCUCCGCAGUCUCCCCCGCAGUCACCCCGCAGUCUCCCCGCAGUCACCCCGCAGUCUCCUCCGCAGUCUCCCCGCAGUCUCCCGCAGUCUCCCCGCAGUCUCCUCCGCAGUCUCCCCCGCAGUCACCCCGCAGUCUCCCCGCAGUCUCCCGCAGUCUCCCCGCAGUCUCCUCCGCAGUCUCCCCCCGCAGUCACCCAGCAGUCUCCUCCGCAGUCUCCCCGCAGUCUCCCGCAGUCUCCCCGCAGUCUCCUCUGCAGUCACCCCCGCAGUCACCCCGCAGUCUCCCCGCAGUCUCCUCCGCAGUCUCCCCCGCAGUCACCCCGCAGUCUCCUCCGCAGUCUCCCCGCAGUCUCCCGCAGUCUCCCCGCAGUCUCCUCCGCAGUCUCCCCCGCAGUCUCCCCGCAGUCUCCUCGCAGUCUCCCCCGCAGUCCCCCGCAGUCACCCCGUAGUCUCCCCCGCAGUCUCCUCCGCAGUCACCCCGCAGUCUCCCGCGGUCUCCCCGCAGUCUCCUCGCAGUCUCCCCCGCAGUCACCCCGCAGUCUCCUCCGCAGUCACCCCGCAGUCUCCCCCGCAGUCUCCCCGCAGUCUCCCCCCGUCACCCCGCAGUCACCCCCGCAGUCUCCCCCGCAGUCCCCCCGCAGUCUCCCCGCAGUCUCCUCCGCAGUCCCCCCGCAGUCUCCCCGCAGUCUCCCUGCAGUCACCCCCGCAGUCUCCCCGCAGCCUCCCCCGCAGUCACCGGGCGGCACGGCCCCGGCGAGCACUCGCAGGCCCGGGAGCGCCCGCGGGGCCCAGGGGCGGGGGAGCCGCCGCUGCGGGCGCGGGCAGGGCUUCCAGGAAGCCGCGGGCUCGGCUGACUUCGCGGCGGCGGGUCGGGUCGGGUCGGGCCGGGUCGGGGCCGCCUCGGCCGGCACGUAG
This 3180-nucleotide long non-coding RNA is filed under the name Canis lupus dingo (dingo). RNAcentral describes it as "lncRNA (ENSCAFG00020006025.1)". The record is from RNAcentral. Lineage: Eukaryota; Metazoa; Chordata; Mammalia; Carnivora; Canidae.